Molecule: ribosomal RNA, 270 nt
Filed under: uncultured archaeon
Lineage: Archaea
Description: partial 16S ribosomal RNA
Rfam family: Archaeal small subunit ribosomal RNA
Source: RNAcentral
CAGCACCUCAAGUGGUCAGGAUGAUUAUUGGGCCUAAAGCAUCCGUAGCCGGCGCUGUAAGUUUUCGGUUAAAUCUGUACGCUCAACGUACAGGCUGCCGGGAAUACUGCAGCGCUAGGGAGUGGGAGAGGUUGACGGCACUCGGUAGGAAGGGGUAAAAUCCUUUGAUCUAUUGAUGACCACCUGUGGCGAAGGCGGUCUACCAGAACACGUCCGACGGUGAGGGAUGAAAGCUGGGGGAGCAAACCGGAUUAGAUACCCGAGUAGUCC